ACCUACGGGAGGCAGCAGUGAGGAAUAUUGGUCAAUGGUCGGGAGACUGAACCAGCCAAGCCGCGUGAGGGAUGAAGGUACAGAGCAUUGUAAACUUCUUUUGUCAAGGGACAAAAUCAGGCUCGAGAGCCUGACCGAGGGUACUUGAAGAAAAAGCAUCGGCUAACUCCGUGCCAGCAGCCGCGGUAAUACGGAGGAUGCGAGCGUUAUCCGGAUUUAUUGGGUUUAAAGGGCGCGUAGGCGGACUGUUAAGUCAGCGGUAAAAGCCCGGGGCUCAACCCCGGCGAGCCGUUGAAACUGGCUGU
RNAcentral lists this ribosomal RNA (305 nucleotides) under uncultured bacterium. RNAcentral describes it as "bacterial SSU rRNA". It matches the Rfam family "Bacterial small subunit ribosomal RNA", at positions 337 to 640 of the family's 1533-position model. The record is from RNAcentral.